Molecule: unclassified non-coding RNA, 583 nt
Filed under: Talaromyces muroii
Lineage: Eukaryota; Fungi; Ascomycota; Eurotiomycetes; Eurotiales; Trichocomaceae
Description: sequence contains 18S rRNA gene, ITS1, 5.8S rRNA gene, ITS2, 28S rRNA gene
Rfam family: 5.8S ribosomal RNA (bases 221-374)
Source: RNAcentral
UCGUAACAAGGUUUCCGUAGGUGAACCUGCGGAAGGAUCAUUACCGAGUGCGGGCCUCGCGGCCCAACCUCCCACCCUUGUCUCUAUACACCUGUUGCUUUGGCGGGCCCACCGGGGCCACCUGGUCGCCGGGGGACGCACGUCCCCGGGCCCGCGCCCGCCGAAGCGCUCUGUGAACCCUGAUGAAGAUGGGCUGUCUGAGUACUAUGAAAAUUGUCAAAACUUUCAACAAUGGAUCUCUUGGUUCCGGCAUCGAUGAAGAACGCAGCGAAAUGCGAUAAGUAAUGUGAAUUGCAGAAUUCCGUGAAUCAUCGAAUCUUUGAACGCACAUUGCGCCCCCUGGCAUUCCGGGGGGCAUGCCUGUCCGAGCGUCAUUUCUGCCCUCAAGCACGGCUUGUGUGUUGGGUGUGGUCCCCCCGGGGACCUGCCCGAAAGGCAGCGGCGACGUCCGUCUGGUCCUCGAGCGUAUGGGGCUCUGUCACUCGCUCGGGAAGGACCUGCGGGGGUUGGUCACCACCAUAUUUUACCACGGUUGACCUCGGAUCAGGUAGGAGUUACCCGCUGAACUUAAGCAUAUCAAUAA